RNAcentral lists this ribosomal RNA (550 nucleotides) under uncultured bacterium. Its description in RNAcentral is "bacterial SSU rRNA". It matches the Rfam family "Bacterial small subunit ribosomal RNA", at positions 355 to 896 of the family's 1533-position model. The record is from RNAcentral.
UGGGGAAUCUUCCGCAAUGGACGAAAGUCUGACGGAGCAACGCCGCGUGAGUGAUGACGGCCUUCGGGUUGUAAAGCUCUGUUAAUCGGGACGAAAGGCCUUCUUGCGAAUAGUUAGAAGGAUUGACGGUACCGGAAUAGAAAGCCACGGCUAACUACGUGCCAGCAGCCGCGGUAAUACGUAGGUGGCAAGCGUUGUCCGGAAUUAUUGGGCGUAAAGCGCGCGCAGGCGGAUUGGUCAGUCUGUCUUAAAAGUUCGGGGCUUAACCCCGUGAUGGGAUGGAAACUGCCAAUCUAGAGUAUCGGAGAGGAAAGUGGAAUUCCUAGUGUAGCGGUGAAAUGCGUAGAUAUUGGGAAGAACACCAGUGGCGAAGGCGACUUUCUGGACGAAAACUGACGCUGAGGCGCGAAAGCCAGGGGAGCGAACGGGAUUAGAUACCCCGGUAGUCCUGGCCGUAAACGAUGGGUACUAGGUGUAGGAGGUAUCGACCCCUUCUGUGCCGGAGUUAACGCAAUAAGUACCCCGCCUGGGGAGUACGACCGCAAGGUUG